UUGAAGGAAGCAAUUUUGUAAGACUGAUUUGUUCAUCUUAAAGUAGGGUCUGUUGUUACUGUUGAAUUUUUUUUUCCCUUCCAUUUCUAGGAGAUAUUGUCUCUUGAAAUUUGCUGAAGUGGUGAAUCCACCAUGUACCCUACCAUUCCAAUGAUUUAGAAUUGAAUUCUAUCAAAAAUGGUGACCAUUGAGUUCCUAACAAGUCCAAUAAACUCUGUUUCUGAAAUCUAAAAUAUUAUCUAUUUGCUAUUCUAUUCCCGUGGUUACUGAGCUAGAAAUUUCUUUAGAACAACAUUCUUUAACUCAAACAUCAGAUCAAAUUUAUUUCAUUUGAUCAGUCUAAUUUCUCAACCUGACCUGCUAAGCACAAUAUUUAAGGUCCCUAGAUGCAACCAUUUUGUUUUUAGUUUUUGGUUUUAAAAAAUUGUGUUUGUUUACUAACAAUCUCUUACUUAUGGUUUUCUUAUUUCCUAUAAACAUUUAAUUUCUUAACUAAUUAGAACCAUUUUUUUAGUUUUCAAAAUUUGGUUUUGAUUUUGAAAACUCUUAAACUGUGGAUAAUAAAGCAUAGUAGACAACAGUGGUUGAGACUUAAUUUUCAAAAACAAAAAACCAAAAAACAAAUAGUUACCAAUCGAGCUUUAUUUAUUUAUUUAUUUAUACACUGAUAUGUUUUUAAAUCACCAAUGCCAAUGGGUCUCUGCGUAUUGAUAUCUAACUUUAUAAAUGUUUCACAAUUCAAGAAUGGAGAUCUUGUUAAUCUUGUGAGAAGCCAGCACAAUUUUCAAACAUAAAAAACUACUUAUCAAAUGGGCCUAAGGGUUAUAUAGUUUAUGUUUAUGUUUAAUUUUCAUGAUUUUUAUUUUCUCAGCUAAUUGAAGACUACUCAUCAAAUAGCAAUUGAUUUAAAAAGAAACAGAAAUGGUAAUGGAAAAUGGGAUAGGACAAAGCCACCAUUGAGGUGAGCACCAAGGCCAACAACAUCAAUACAUAGGCAAUCCCUUGGUCUAUGCUUGUCCCUGCAAAUCAAAAUUACAAUAAUUUUCAUCAGCUACAUUAUAGGACCCUGAAACAGUGAAACUUCAUCCCAGAUUCAGGUUCAGGUUGGUUUGAUAAUUGCUUAGGCCAUGUUUGAUAGCCAUGUCGAUUUAAAAAUCAGAAAAUGGCUAUGAAAAGUGGAGUUAAAAAGGAAUAGAAAAGAGAAGAAGAAGAGGUAACCAUCGCUAGCAGCAGGAGGUUGGGCCGGGGACAAAGACUGAGCAUAAGCAGGGGAAAGCACAGCCAAAAGCAAAGCAACAGCAAAUAGAAUGCCUCCAAAAGGGACCUUAUAAGCAACGACCGCCAUUGUUGAAAAGAAGAAGGAGAAGGUUGUAAGUGAAAAUUAAAAGAACGAAAUCUCUCUCUGCGACGUCUCUCAGAAAUGGAAGAAGUAGAGAGGAAAGCUCGGGAGAGGCGUAGCAGAGAGAGAGAGAGAGAGAGAUUAUUGGAAAAUCAAAGUAUUAAGGCCGGGAAUUGAUAAAAAUGAUAUGAAACUGUCAAGAGGGGAGGGGGCUAGCCAAACCACCAAUUGACAGUUCCAACGUAAAGGACGACGGCGUGGCAAUGGCGGUGUGGCUCUCAACCAAUGGGGCUAUGGAUUAUAUAGCCCCCAUUUAGUUUGGAAUGUUGCAACUAACAACUGCAAUUCCCAUCUAAAUCGCUUAUUUCAUACCCUUUUUUGGGUUUUCUUGAAACAGUCUAUAGGCUUCUUUUUCACCAUCUCAUACUUCCUUUUUCUUUCUUUUGGAGAUAGGAGUAUUUGUCAUAAUUUAGCGGAAGUUGAGAACCUAUAACUACCAUUCAUUUAUGGUCAUUCGUCUCUUGAAAAUCAAGAUAAUUGGAAUUUCUAAAAUUUUCCAAAUGGUAGAUGUUAUGUUUAUUUUGUAA
Long non-coding RNA from Benincasa hispida (wax gourd), 1926 nucleotides. RefSeq lists it as uncharacterized. The record is from RefSeq and is a predicted model, not a curated record. NCBI's taxonomy places the organism in Eukaryota, Viridiplantae, Streptophyta, Magnoliopsida, Cucurbitales, Cucurbitaceae.